Molecule: small RNA, 575 nt
Filed under: Pongo abelii (Sumatran orangutan)
Lineage: Eukaryota; Metazoa; Chordata; Mammalia; Primates; Hominidae
Description: processed transcript
Source: RNAcentral
AACCAGCAAGGGAAGGAAAGCGGGGAAGGGAGGAAGGAAACGAACGAGGGGGAGGGAGGUCCCUGUUUUGGAGGAGCUAGGAGCGUUGCCGGCCCCUGAAGUGGAGAGAGAGGGAGGUGCUUCGCCGUUUAUCCUGCCAGGGGAGGUCCCGGCUUCCCGUGGAGGCUCCGGACCAAGCCCCUUCAGCUUCUCCCUCCGGAUCGAUGUGCUGCUGUUAACCCGUGAGGAGGCGGCGGCAGCGGAAGAUGGUGUUGCUGAGAGUGUUAAUUCUGCUCCUCUCCUGGGCGGCGGGGAUGGGAGGUCAGUAUGGGAAUCCUUUAAAUAAAUAUAUCAGACAUUAUGAAGGAUUAUCUUACAAUAUGGAUUCAUUACACCAAAAACACCAGCGUGCCAAAAGAGCAGUCUCACAUGAGGACCAAUUUUUACGUCUAGAUUUCCAUGCCCAUGGAAGGUGAAGAAGGAAGUUUUAGCCAUGGGUCUGUUAUUGAUGGAAGAUUUGAAGGAUUCAUCCAGACUCGUGGUGGCACAUUUUAUGUUGAGCCAGCAGAGAGAUAUAUUAAAGACCGAACUCUGCC